Molecule: ribosomal RNA, 317 nt
Filed under: Escherichia coli
Lineage: Bacteria; Pseudomonadati; Pseudomonadota; Gammaproteobacteria; Enterobacterales; Enterobacteriaceae
Description: partial 23S ribosomal RNA
Rfam family: Bacterial large subunit ribosomal RNA
Source: RNAcentral
GUACCCCGAGGAAAAGAAAUCAACCGAGAUUCCCCCAGUAGCGGCGAGCGAACGGGGAGCAGCCCAGAGCCUGAAUCAGUAUGUGUGUUAGUGGAAGCGUCUGGAAAGGCGCGCGAUACAGGGUGACAGCCCCGUACACAAAAAUGCACAUGCUGUGAGCUCGAUGAGUAGGGCGGGACACGUGGUAUCCUGUCUGAAUAUGGGGGGACCAUCCUCCAAGGCUAAAUACUCCUGACUGACCGAUAGUGAACCAGUACCGUGAGGGAAAGGCGAAAAGAACCCCGGCGAGGGGAGUGAAAAAGAACCUGAAACCGUGU